RNAcentral lists this ribosomal RNA (440 nucleotides) under uncultured bacterium. Its description in RNAcentral is "partial 16S ribosomal RNA". It matches the Rfam family "Bacterial small subunit ribosomal RNA", at positions 338 to 795 of the family's 1533-position model. The record is from RNAcentral.
CCUACGGGAGGCAGCAGUGAGGAAUAUUGCUCAAUGGGGGAGACCCUGAAGCAGCGACGCCGCGUGAGGGAAGAAGGUUUUCGGUAUUUAAAACCCUUUUGGUAGGGGAGCAAAUGACGCUAUCUGACGAAUAAGCAGCGGCUAAAUACGUGACAGCAGCCGCGGUAAUACGUAGGGGGCAGGCGUUAAUCGGAGUCACUGGGCGUAAAGCGGGCGUAGUCGGGAUAGCAAGUCCGACGUGAAAUCCUAGGGCUUAACCAUAGAACUGCAGUUGAAACUGUCAUUCUGGAGUGAGGGAGAGGUAUGCGGAAUUCGUGGUGUAGCGGUGAAAUCCGUAGAUAUCACGAAGAACACCGAUUGCGAAGGCGGCAUGCCGGCACCUAACUGACGCUGAGGCGCGAAAGCGUGGGUAUCGAACAGGAUUAGAUACCCGAGUAGUC